UAGACAGAUCCAGGCUCACCAGUCCUGUGCCACUGGGCUUUUGGCGUUCUGCACAAGGCCCACCCACAGAUGCCAUGCCUGCUCCCCCAGCCUAAUGGGCUUUGAUGGGGGAAGAGGGUGGUUCAGUCUCUCACGAUGAGGAGGAAAGAGCAAGUGUCCUCCUCGGACAUUCUCUGGGUUGUGAAAUGUGCUCGCAGGAGGCUUUUCAGGCACAGAGGAGCCAGCUGGUCGAGCUGCUGGUCUCAGGGUCCCUGGAAGGCUUCGAGAGUGUCCUGGACUGGCUGCUGUCCUGGGAGGUCCUCUCCUGGGAGGACUACGAGGGCUUCCACCUCCUGGGCCAGCCUCUCUCCCACUUGGCCAGGCGCCUUCUGGACACUGUCUGGAAUAAGGGUACUUGGGCCUGUCAGAAGCUUAUCGCGGCUGCCCAAGAAGCCCAGGCCGACAGCCAGUCCCCCAAGCUGCAUGGCUGCUGGGACCCCCACUCGCUCCACCCAGCCCGAGACCUGCAGAGUCACCGGCCAGCCAUUGUCAGGAGGCUCCACAACCAUGUGGAGAACAUGCUGGACCUGGCAUGGGAGCGGGGUUUCGUCAGCCAGUAUGAAUGUGAUGAAAUCAGGUUGCCGAUCUUCACACCGUCCCAGAGGCUGCCACAUGCAAGAAGUACAUGGCCAAGCUGAGGACCACGGUGUCUGCUCAGUCUCGCUUCCUCAGUACCUAUGAUGGAGCAGAGACGCUCUGCCUGGAGGACAUAUACACAGAGAAUGUCCUGGAGGUCUGGGCAGACGUGGGCAUGGCUGGACCCCCGCAGAAGAGCCCAGCCACCCUGGGCCUGGAGGAGCUCUUCAGCACCCCCGGCCACCUCAAUGACGAUGCGGACA
RNAcentral lists this small RNA (878 nucleotides) under Pan troglodytes (chimpanzee). RNAcentral describes it as "processed transcript". The record is from RNAcentral. Lineage: Eukaryota; Metazoa; Chordata; Mammalia; Primates; Hominidae.